GUGAUCAUGUCCAUUCUACUUGGCAAGUGUUUUAUCCAUGUGCCUUCUUUUCCUAAAAUAACACCUAACAUGGAAAAGAAAGCAGAAACCUGGGGGGCCAGACCCUCCCACGGUCUUCUUGAGAUGAGAUUACUUUGCUUGCUAACACCAUAACUUACCUCCAUUCCAAUGGCGACACCAUCUAAUCAACUCACUAUUCCCAUUUGUAAUUAUGGUGAGAUGGCCUCAUUAAGGACAUCUCGGACUGAUGCAAAUCCAGGGACAAGAUUAUUUAUCAAGCCCAUGGAUUAUGGGGUAGCGUUAUUUUAGUUCUCCUUUUUUUUUUUUCCUUUUGAAGAAAAUCUUGUUAAGACUUGGGUUGUUUAUCUUAAUGCAGACACUCAGAAUGUGGGGGGACUUCAUGUGCUCUGAUCUUCCUCUUCAAGAACGUGCAAGAUCUGUGAUUGUUGAUGUGCUACAAAGAUUUGGAAAAAUAGAUGCACAAAUCUAUACUAUAGAUAGAGUUAAAGAAAGAGGUUUAAUUUUAUUGCUAUUGAUGUAUUCAUUAGUUGGAUUAGGUAUGAUUUUAUGGGUUUUGAACCAUAAUCUAUAUAAUAUAUAAAUGUGUGAUAGGGAGAACAUUGGCUUUAACUAAAUUGCCCUUCAUUAUUUAUAGUAUUUGUAAUUGUAUUUUUUAAUAUUUACUUUAAUUUUAGAGUUUAUAUAAAUUUAAAAUUUUUAUUACUCUUUUUCGGUGCU
RNAcentral lists this unclassified non-coding RNA (738 nucleotides) under Hevea brasiliensis (rubber tree). Lineage: Eukaryota; Viridiplantae; Streptophyta; Magnoliopsida; Malpighiales; Euphorbiaceae. The record is from RNAcentral.